This 206-nucleotide unclassified non-coding RNA is filed under the name soil metagenome. RNAcentral describes it as "partial contains 5.8S ribosomal RNA, internal transcribed spacer 2, and large subunit ribosomal RNA". The record is from RNAcentral.
AACCUUAUGGACCUGCGGGCGUAUACCUGCGGAAGGAUCAUUACAGAGAUUGAUGCACCAAGUGCAUCACCUCCAACCCCUUGCGAAAACAACUAUCAUGUGUUGCUUUGGCAGUGUUUCCACUGCCAGAGGUUUACAUAAAAUCAGCUGUUGGAUGUUGUCUGAGUAAACUAUAUGAAUUAUUUAAAACUUUCAGCAACGGAUCU